AUUGAACGCUGGCGGCAUGCCUUACACAUGCAAGUCGAACGGCAGCACGGGAGCAAUCCUGGUGGCGAGUGGCGAACGGGUGAGUAAUAUAUCGGAACGUGCCCAGUCGUGGGGAUAACGUAGCGAAAGCUACGCUAAUACCGCAUACGAUCUAUGGAUGAAAGCGGGGGAUCGCAAGACCUCGCGCGAUUGGAGCGGCCGAUAUCAAAUUAGGUAGUUGGUGAGGUAAAGGCUCACCAAGCCGACGAUCUGUAGCUGGUCUGAGAGGACGACCAGCCACACUGGGACUGAGACACGGCCCAGACUCCUACGGGAGGCAGCAGUAAGGAAUAUUGGUCAAUGGGCGGAAGCCUGAACCAGCCAUGCCGCGUGCAGGAAGACGGCCCUAUGGGUUGUAAACUGCUUUUGUACCGGAAUAAACCCUUUACGUGUAAGAGGCUGAAUGUACGGUAAGAAUAAGGAUCGGCUAACUCCGUGCCAGCAGCCGACGG
Molecule: ribosomal RNA, 491 nt
Filed under: uncultured bacterium
Lineage: Bacteria
Description: bacterial SSU rRNA
Rfam family: Bacterial small subunit ribosomal RNA
Source: RNAcentral